GACGAACGCUGGCGGCGUGCCUAAUACAUGCAAGUCGAACGCAGUGGGGACGGUUGAGUAACACGUGGGUAACCUCCCAUCAGAGGGGAUAACACUUGGAAACUGGUGCUAAACCGAUACUGAUGGAUGGACUCGCGGUGCAUUAGCCAGUUGGUGAGGUAACGGCUCACCAAGGCCACGAUGCAUAGCCGACCUGAGAGGGUGAUCGGCCACACUGGGACGGAGACACGGCCCAGACUCCUACGGGAGGCAGCAGUGGGGAAGCUUGGGCAAUGGACGAAAGUCUGACAGAGCAACGCCGCGUGGGUGAAGAAGGUUUUCGGAGCGUAAAGCUCUGUUGUUAGAGAAGCGGUAUCUAACCAGAAAGCCACGGCUAACUACGUGCCAGCAGCCGCGGUAAUUC
RNAcentral lists this ribosomal RNA (403 nucleotides) under uncultured bacterium. Its description in RNAcentral is "partial 16S ribosomal RNA". It matches the Rfam family "Bacterial small subunit ribosomal RNA", at positions 28 to 526 of the family's 1533-position model. The record is from RNAcentral.